Molecule: long non-coding RNA, 262 nt
Filed under: Cricetulus griseus (Chinese hamster)
Lineage: Eukaryota; Metazoa; Chordata; Mammalia; Rodentia; Cricetidae
Description: lncRNA (ENSCGRG00000025642.1)
Source: RNAcentral
CUUUCUGACAGUUGUAAGUCAUUUUUGAACAUUUUUCCCACCACGGAGAAGCACAGGAGAAUUUUCCUUUUCUCUUUCAGAGGGUGAUGAUAGCUGCUCUGUUUAUGAUAGGUAGGAUGCCUUCACUCCAUCUCUGCUGCCAACUUUUAACAAGAUAGCCUCUUCUUUCAUGGUAGCAGAUGAAUGGGAAAGGAAGCUUCUCAUGACUGACCAUAUUUUGUGAAAAUCUUCAUGUAAAGUCUCACAGUUUCUGAUCUAAAGA